Hemicordylus capensis (graceful crag lizard) is the source of this 640-nucleotide long non-coding RNA. RefSeq lists it as uncharacterized. The transcript is spliced from 4 exons. Lineage: Eukaryota; Metazoa; Chordata; Lepidosauria; Squamata; Cordylidae. The record is from RefSeq and is a predicted model, not a curated record.
UUUGAAGCAGCCGCUCUCUUGUUACUGGAUUGCUCGAUGAAGCUAACUGCUGAAGAUGAAGCAAUUCAGGAAAUAAAAGGUCAAGCUGUUCUUUUCUGGGAUUCUGAGUGGACUGAGGCCUGGCUGUGCAGCAACGAAAAAAUGCAGCUAUGAAGGUCAGAAAAACAGCUGGUGACCCUCUCGUGUCAUGCCAGUGGGGAGUUUUCAGUCCUUCAUGAUGAAGCCUCUUCUUGAAUAGUCUGUAGCUCGGUCAUGGAUCUCUGGAUGAUUAACAACAUUAGAUCUGAAGUUUCAAGUCAGGUCCAUCUUUAUAGUCCUUCAUGACGAAGCACAUGCAAAAAUAGCUGAUAUCUAGAUUUCAAGGACUAUUUUGAUUACACCCUGGAAUAUUUGAUUAUGCCUAUCUAAGUUUUACUUGUUAUAAACUUGGAAUAAGGAGUAAAGCUUAUUAUUUAUCUAUAUAUGGGAGACCCACGAAGAUGUUUACAAGACUAAUACUAGGGUUGGAGUGAAUUACUGAAGGAAUUUAUUCCACUGCGUCCAUGCAAAAAGUCCAGCUUCUCCUUUUACAUCAUUGCACCUCCAAGAGUUCAUCUUCAUCUAUUCAUGGCAUAUUUGUGAUGGGCUUCACUGCUUUCAA